RNAcentral lists this ribosomal RNA (443 nucleotides) under uncultured bacterium. Its description in RNAcentral is "SSU rRNA". It matches the Rfam family "Bacterial small subunit ribosomal RNA", at positions 26 to 518 of the family's 1533-position model. The record is from RNAcentral.
AGAGCGAACGCUGGCGGCAGGCCUAAUACAUGCAAGUCGAACGCACCUUCGGGUGAGUGGCGGACGGGUGAGUAACACGUGGGAACGUGCCUUUUGGUUCGGAAUAAUCCGGGGAAACCUGGCCUAAUACCGGAUGUGCCCUUCGGGGGAAAGAUUUAUCGCCAUUAGAGCGGCCCGCGUCUGAUUAGCUAGUUGGUGAGGUAACGGCCCACCAAGGCGACGAUCAGUAGCUGGUCUGAGAGGAUGAUCAGCCACACUGGGACUGAGACACGGCCCAGACUCCUACGGGAGGCAGCAGUAGGGAAUCUUGCGCAAUGGGCGAAAGCCUGACGCAGCCAUGCCGCGUGAAUGACGAAGGUCUUAGGAUUGUAAAAUUCUUUCAGCGGGAAGAUAAUGACUGUACCCGCAGAAGAAGCUCCGGCUAACUUCGCGCCAGCAGCCGC